GGUUAAGCGACUAAGCGUACACGGUGGAUGCCCUGGCAGUCAGAGGCGAUGAAGGACGUGCUAAUCUGCGAAAAGCGACGGCGAGGUGAUAUGAACCUUUGACCCGUCGAUGUCCGAAUGGGGAAACCCAGUGCAAUCCGUUGCACUAUCGUUAACUGAAUACAUAGGUUAACGAGGCGAACCGGGGGAACUGAAACAUCUAAGUACCCCGAGGAAAAGAAAUCAACCGAGAUUCCCCCAGUAGCGGCGAGCGAACGGGGAGCAGCCCGGAGUCUGAAUCAGCUUGUGUGUUAGUGGAAGCGUCUGGAAAGUCGCACGGUACAGGGUGACAGUCCCGUACACGAAAAUGCACAGGUUGUGAACUCGAAGAGUAGGGCGGGACACGUGGUAUCCUGUCUGAAUAUGGGGGGACCAUCCUCCAAGGCUAAAUACUCCUGACUGACCGAUAGUGAACCAGUACCGUGAGGGAAAGGCGAAAAGAACCCCGGCGAGGGGAGUGAAAAAGAACCUGAAACCGUGUACGUACAAGCAGUGGGAGCACCUUCGUGGUGUGACUGCGUACCUUUUGUAUAAUGGGUCAGCGACUUAUAUUCUGUAGCAAGGUUAACCGUAUAGGGGAGCCGCAGGGAAACCGAGUCUUAACUGGGCGUUAAGUUGCAGGGUAUAGACCCGAAACCCGGUGAUCUAGCCAUGGGCAGGUUGAAGGUUGGGUAACACUAACUGGAGGACCGAACCGACUAAUGUUGAAAAAUUAGCGGAUGACCUGUGGCUGGGGGUGAAAGGCCAAUCAAACCGGGAGAUAGCUGGUUCUCCCCGAAAGCUAUUUAGGUAGCGCCUCGUGAACUCAUCUUCGGGGGUAGAGCACUGUUUCGGCUAGGGGGCCAUCCCGGCUUACCAACCCGAUGCAAACUACGAAUACCGAAGAAUGUUAUCACGGGAGACACACGGCGGGUGCUAACGUCCGUCGUGAAGAGGGAAACAACCCAGACCGCCAGCUAAGGUCCCAAAGUCAUGGUUAAGUGGGAAACGAUGUGGGAAGGCACAGACAGCCAGGAUGUUGGCUUAGAAGCAGCCAUCAUUUAAAGAAAGCGUAAUAGCUCACUGGUCGAGUCGGCCUGCGCGGAAGAUGUAACGGGGCUAAACCAUGCACCGAAGCUGCGGCAGCGACGCUUAUGCGUUGUUGGGUAGGGGAGCGUUCUGUAAGCCGUUGAAGGUGUGCUGUGAGGCAUGCUGGAGGUAUCAGAAGUGCGAAUGCUGACAUAAGUAACGAUAAAGCGGGUGAAAAGCCCGCUCGCCGGAAGACCAAGGGUUCCUGUCCAACGUUAAUCGGGGCAGGGUGAGUCGACCCCUAAGGCGAGGCCGAAAGGCGUAGUCGAUGGGAAACAGGUUAAUAUUCCUGUACUUGGUGUUACUGCGAAGGGGGGACGGAGAAGGCUAUGUCAGCCGGGCGACGGUUGUCCCGGUUUAAGCGUGUAGGUGUGUGUUCCAGGCAAAUCCGGUUCACUUUAACACUGAGGCGUGAUGACGAGGCACUACGGUGCUGAAGUGAUAAAUGCCCUGCUUCCAGGAAAAGCCUCUAAGCAUCAGGUAACACGAAAUCGUACCCCAAACCGACACAGGUGGUCAGGUAGAGAAUACCAAGGCGCUUGAGAGAACUCGGGUGAAGGAACUAGGCAAAAUGGUGCCGUAACUUCGGGAGAAGGCACGCUGAUAUGUAGGUGAAGUCCCUGCGGACGGAGCUGAAAUCAGUCGAAGAUACCAGCUGGCUGCAACUGUUUAUUAAAAACACAGCACUGUGCAAACACGAAAGUGGACGUAUACGGUGUGACGCCUGCCCGGUGCCGGAAGGUUAAUUGAUGGGGUUAGCGGCAACGCGAAGCUCUUGAUCGAAGCCCCGGUAAACGGCGGCCGUAACUAUAACGGUCCUAAGGUAGCGAAAUUCCUUGUCGGGUAAGUUCCGACCUGCACGAAUGGCGUAAUGAUGGCCAGGCUGUCUCCACCCGAGACUCAGUGAAAUUGAACUCGCUGUGAAGAUGCAGUGUACCCGCGGCAAGACGGAAAGACCCCGUGAACCUUUACUAUAGCUUGACACUGAACACUGGUCCUUGAUGUGUAGGAUAGGUGGGAGGCUUUGAAGCGUGGACGCCAGUCUGCGUGGAGCCGUCCUUGAAAUACCACCCUUUAAUGGCUGGUGUUCUAACGUGGACCCGUGAUCCGGGUUGCGGACAGUGUCUGGUGGGUAGUUUGACUGGGGCGGUCUCCUCCCAAAGAGUAACGGAGGAGCACGAAGGUUAGCUAAUCCUGGUCGGACAUCAGGAGGUUAGUGCAAUGGCAUAAGCUAGCUUGACUGCGAGAGUGACGGCUCGAGCAGGUGCGAAAGCAGGUCAUAGUGAUCCGGUGGUUCUGAAUGGAAGGGCCAUCGCUCAACGGAUAAAAGGUACUCCGGGGAUAACAGGCUGAUACCGCCCAAGAGUUCAUAUCGACGGCGGUGUUUGGCACCUCGAUGUCGGCUCAUCACAUCCUGGGGCUGAAGUAGGUCCCAAGGGUAUGGCUGUUCGCCAUUUAAAGUGGUACGCGAGCUGGGUUUAGAACGUCGUGAGACAGUUCGGUCCCUAUCUGCCGUGGGCGCUGGAGAAUUGAGGGGGGCUGCUCCUAGUACGAGAGGACCGGAGUGGACGCAUCACUGGUGUUCGGGUUGUCAUGCCAAUGGCACUGCCCGGUAGCUAAAUGCGGAAGAGAUAAGUGCUGAAAGCAUCUAAGCACGAAACUUGCCCCGAGAUGAGUUCUCCCUGACUCCUUGAGAGUCCUGAAGGAACGUUGAAGACGACGACGUUGAUAGGCCGGGUGUGUAAGCGCAGCGAUGCGUUGAGCUAACCGGUACUAAUGAACCGUGAGGCUUAACCUU
RNAcentral lists this ribosomal RNA (2905 nucleotides) under Enterobacter bugandensis. RNAcentral describes it as "23S ribosomal RNA". It matches the Rfam family "Bacterial large subunit ribosomal RNA". The record is from RNAcentral. Lineage: Bacteria; Pseudomonadati; Pseudomonadota; Gammaproteobacteria; Enterobacterales; Enterobacteriaceae.